Molecule: ribosomal RNA, 292 nt
Filed under: uncultured bacterium
Lineage: Bacteria
Description: partial 16S ribosomal RNA
Rfam family: Bacterial small subunit ribosomal RNA
Source: RNAcentral
GUGCCAGCCGCCGCGGUAAUACGUAGGCAGCAAGCGUUGUUCGGAGUUACUGGGCGUAAAGAGUGUGUAGGCGGUUUUCCAAGUCUGGUGUGAAAUCUCCCGGCUUAACUGGGAGGGUGCGCCGGAAACUGGAAGGCUUGAGUGUGGGAGAGGGAAGUGGAAUUCCUGGUGUAGCGGUGAAAUGCGUAGAUAUCAGGAGGAACACCGGCGGUGUAGACGGCUUCCUGGACCACUACUGACGCUGAAACACGAAAGCGUGGGGAGCAAACAGGAUUAGAAACCCUGGUAGUCC